UACGGGGGGGGCAAGCGUUGUUCGGAAUUACUGGGCGUAAAGGGCUCGUAGGUGGCCAACUAAGUCAGACGUGAAAUCCCUCGGCUUAACCGGGGAACUGCGUCUGAUACUGGAUGGCUUGAGUUUGGGAGAGGGAUGCGGAAUUCCAGGUGUAGCGGUGAAAUGCGCAGAUAUCAGGAGGAACACCGGUGGCGAAGGCGGGUCUCUGGGCCGAUACUGACGCUGAGGAGCGAAAGCGUGGGGAGCAAACAGG
RNAcentral lists this ribosomal RNA (253 nucleotides) under uncultured bacterium. RNAcentral's name for it is "partial 16S ribosomal RNA". It matches the Rfam family "Bacterial small subunit ribosomal RNA", at positions 524 to 776 of the family's 1533-position model. The record is from RNAcentral.